GGACAAAACACAGGUGGUGCAUCUGC
This 26-nucleotide non-coding RNA is filed under the name Homo sapiens (human). The record is from RNAcentral. Lineage: Eukaryota; Metazoa; Chordata; Mammalia; Primates; Hominidae.